GUGCUCACUUCAGCAGCACAUACACUAAAAUUAGAAUGAUGCAGAGAAGAUUCACGUGGCCCCUGCAUUCGGAUAACACAUAAAUUCGUGAAGCAUUCCAUAUUUAA
Molecule: small nuclear RNA, 107 nt
Filed under: Zalophus californianus (California sea lion)
Lineage: Eukaryota; Metazoa; Chordata; Mammalia; Carnivora; Otariidae
Also listed under: 1 other name
Source: RNAcentral